AAUUUGUAUCACGCAACUAAUUUUUUCAUAAACUGGGGGCACGCAGUAUGAAAUCUUCACAAAAGACACAAAUCAUUUCAACACACAGAAUCUAAACGUGAAAACAAUGACAUCAUUGCACACCAUUAAACUGUUAGUAGGAGUGUACAUCCAGUAAAUGUGAAUGGGAACAGAUGUAAUCCUCAUGAUCUGGUUGCUGUUUCUGUGUUUGUACGAGCUCUGGCCUUUGAGGUUGUGGCUGUGUGUGUGUGUGUGUGUUUCAUUUUGAUACACUUCGUGUUUAGUAAACCCACAGAGGCUGAUAUGUUAUGCAAAUGUUUACUAAGUUAUGUUUGCACUACCUGAUUUAUUACAGUUUUGUAACAUACUAAUCUACAUGUUUGUCUCUGUUGUUGUCUCUGCAGCCAACGGUAUGUACAUGGGAAGCCAAGAAAUGAGACUGGUUGUAGAAAGAGACAACGCAACUGUACGUCAACACCUCAGCAAGGGCACAAAGUCAUUCAUUAAAAAAAGUUCCUGGAGUUCAGCACAGCUCCCCUACCAGCGCCUGACAAUACCAUAUCCCCCUCUUCACCCGGUGUUGUAUGGAAUUUACAAUCACCUGGAAACUUCCUGAAUACUUGCUGGCAAAAAAAUGAGACAAAAUACAAACCCAACAAUGAUUCCGGAACCGUGGGUGAGUCAGACAGUCACUGAGGGUUCACUUUCAUGUGGAUGUCUGGGAAAGAAGAUUUGCUGCGGGAGUGCGGGACUGUUUUUUUUUUUCUUUCCAUCAAUACACUUUUUUUUUUUUUUAUCAUCUGAACAACAAAUGACAGUGAAAGACAGUGAAAAGAUACUAAGUGUGUUUACAUUUUGUUUUUACAUUACAGUUCGUUUUUUUAUAUAUUUAUUUCAUAUAUAAACCAGUAAACAAUAUAUCCAAAAGAAACAGAAAAGAAAGCAAUAUAUUGCAGAUAUUUACAUUUGAAUUAUGUACACUUCCUUAUCUAACAGUAUACAUACUCUCACAUACACAGUGCAUUUACAAUAAAAAGUCAAUAACAAAAAAGACAUUCUCCCAUUUUUUUUGUAGUAUAAAAUGAUAAUUUUCUUAGCCAGAUAAAUACACUAAAUGCAUUAAAUUAAGAAAAGCACUUUGGCAUGUGUACAAUAAUUUACACUUAUAUUUGAACCCUUUGUUCUAAUAAAACAAAUCAGUCACGGCUUUAUGGUCCCCUCCAUAUUUUUUUAAGCAACAUAUAUUUUACCAGCUUAAGUACAGUAAAGUAAAACAGAUGUCGGUGAAGGUAAGUUAACAUUGCUUAGCACUGAUCAGCAUGUAUAUUCGAGGGGUGCCAAACCCCUUAACUGAACCAUGACAGUCCUGCAGGCUUUGCAUUCAUUUCUCUGAGAGCACUUGGCAUAGUAAAUUGAAACUCCUUCUCUACUUAAUGUCUCCUGAGGCUUUUCACUUUAGUCAAAUAGCGAGGCACAACUGAGGUAACCCAUGCAGCGCUUAAGCUGAUAACCUCCAGACCUCCGAAAACCGACGCGGCAAAGGCACUCUUCAUGCUGCUUUAUCUCCUUGAACCAAAGAUGGCGUCCCCAAAUGUUAUUCUUUUCCAGCUAGGUGUGGUAUCAUGAUCAUGUCAAUACUGAAAUAAAGGCUGCUUAUAAAAAGAAUCAGAUUGUUUGGAGAAACUGCCUUGAGAGGAAUUAGAUUAAGGAGCAAGCGAACAUACGAUUGGAAUUGUCGGGCCAAAUGAAAUCAAUUUGUUUGAAAUGGAUGUUGAAGAUCUCAUUUUUGCUUUAUCUUUCCAAAACAGUCCUGUUCAGUCCUGCAGAACAAGACUUUGCCUCAGAGCAAAAACAGCUCUGCACAAUUUGAAUGGGAAAUCGAGAAAUACCGUGAGAGAUGCAACUGUUUUCAACAUAAUUGGAAAGGGCGAAUUGAAUUUACUUCUGCAGAAGUACUUACAAACAAUCAAAACAACAAGCUUGUAAACUAACGGUCACGACAGUAAUGUGCCGUAAAACCACACAGGAAGUUUUCAUCAGAUUUCGUGCCAUUAUAUUGUUCUGAACUGCACAGAUGCUCUGGCUAAUUCUUCUGUGGUCUGUUGAUUUAGGAAUGUAACUUUCAUACUGCCACCGUGGACAAUCUGGGUGAUUAUCAUUCCCAUACAAUGAGACCAACAUUGAUUGAGGGGAAUUACCAUGGAGAAAUGUCAAAAAAAGAAAAACAAUUGCUGUUCUGAAUUAAAAUCUGCUUUGUAUUUCUUCAUAGAGGAAACAGUUGAU
Carassius auratus (goldfish) is the source of this 2283-nucleotide long non-coding RNA. Lineage: Eukaryota; Metazoa; Chordata; Actinopteri; Cypriniformes; Cyprinidae. The record is from Ensembl.